CGAGAUAAUGGGAUCUUCCAUUUUCCUCUAGUAAAUAAUAAAAACCCAGAAAAGAAAGAUCUUUCCUGAAAAUUUUCAGUAUCUGUGAGCAAAUAUGGAAAUCUACAACAACUUUGAAUCUUAUCAACUGACAUAUUUUGAUAUCGUGAUGGUGGGACGUCCAUGCUCAAUAGUUUUUACAGAUCAACAACUACAAUUAUACUAACAGAUGCAACAAAGCCUUUGAAUGAAUCGUACCUUAAAAAGCUGAGAAAAUUAAUGUAUCUUUGGAAGCUCUGGUUAAGAAAGAUGUUUGACAUAGACUGGGAGGUUUGUGAUAUCUGAAGUUCCGCCAAUGGAUCUUUCUUGGGCGAUAUCUACGAUGUAUGAGAGUUAGUUCAACCAAAUUCUUAGGCGGCUGUGGCCCUCUUACUCCUAUUCAG
RNAcentral lists this long non-coding RNA (422 nucleotides) under Panax ginseng (ginseng). RNAcentral describes it as "long non-coding RNA (PGIN_LNC005985)". Lineage: Eukaryota; Viridiplantae; Streptophyta; Magnoliopsida; Apiales; Araliaceae. The record is from RNAcentral.